RNAcentral lists this long non-coding RNA (1207 nucleotides) under Nicotiana benthamiana. Its description in RNAcentral is "long non-coding RNA (NBEN_LNC012477)". Lineage: Eukaryota; Viridiplantae; Streptophyta; Magnoliopsida; Solanales; Solanaceae. The record is from RNAcentral.
UCAUUUGACUUACACAUAGGGUACACACAUAUUGAUUCUUCUAAUGCAUAUGAGUGGAAUUAGGAUUAGCUGCAAAAAGAAGGAAAGAGCAAGGGUAAAGAAAUAGAAUUCAGAAUGAACCAGAGAACUAGGGGUCAAACCUUGUAAAUGAGGACAUGAAAGAGAUUUGGAUAACUAGGGAACAAACAUGUGCAAGAACUAUCUAUCCAACAGAGUAAAAGCAGCAGCACAUGAACUAAUCCAUUAUACGACAGUUUCAGUUGAAGACAAGCCCCUCUUCUCUCUUGAAACAGCAGCAGCUCUGUAAGCUACCACAUUAGUUCAUGACAAAAUCAACUCUGAGUAGACAGAAGCAAGAAUUAAAAUCUAUCAGUUGCAAAAUGAUCAUCAUUUUCAAUUUCCAAAACACGAAAGAAACAAUGCAUAAAAGAUUAUACGUACUUGAUUAAGAAUUUCGGGAGGCUCUAUCUAUGUGAGCAGAAUGACUCUAGUACCAUCCAUUUCAGCAAACCUAACAUAGGAGGAAACAAUGUAGAAUGAAAGAGAAUUCUCUUUUCGUAGUUUAUGAACCUUUAAGUUUCAUGUUUAAAUCAAUUUUGAAGUGUUUGAAUUAGUCAUCUGAUGAUUUAUCCCUUUCUUACACGAAAGCCUUUACUCAAAAUGCAAUCAAAUAAUGAAAUUAGAGAAAAAGGAAGGAGUAUGCAUAAGAAAUCUAAUUCAACCUGAUUCAAACACCUAGAGAACAGAAUUUGGAAAUACCUAAUAUAUUCUUUAAAAAAAAGUACAAUCCAGUAUAAUCCCACUUAGUGAGGUAUGGGGAGGAUAGUAUGUACGCAGACAUUACCCCUACCCUUGGGUAGAGACGCUGUUUCCAAAUAGGCCCCCGGCAUCCUUUCCUCCAAGAACUUCCCACCUUUGUUCUUGAAAGACUCGAACUCACAACCUCUUGAUUGGAAGUGGGUUGCUUACCAUCAGAGCAACCUAAUAUAUUCUCAACGACUGAAAUAAAUUAUAUCAAGUGUAAUAUGACAAAAAGAAUACACAUCAAAUUAAAAAUAACAAUAGAUAGAGAAGAGGAGUUAGAAGAAUACCCAGCAGAAAAUAACAAUGGACGGAAUGAAGGAGUGAUAGAGCAGAGGUAUGAUGAGGAGCUGUUUGCAGGAGCGUUGGAUUUGACAAGAGAUAUCAGACGGUGACUCACGUGUUG